GACGAACGCUGGCGGCGUGCUUAACACAUGCAAGUCGAACGGAAAGGCCCUGCUUUUGUGGGGUGCUCGAGUGGCGAACGGGUGAGUAACACGUGAGUAACCUGCCCUUGACUUUGGGAUAACUUCAGGAAACUGGGGCUAAUACCGGAUAGGAGCUCCUACUGCAUGGUGGGGGUUGGAAAGUUGCGGCGGUUGGGGAUGGACUCGCGGCUUAUCAGCUUGUUGGUGGGGGAGUGGCUUACCAAGGCUUUGACGGGUAGCCGGACUGAGAGGGUGACCGGGCACAUUGGGCUUGAGGUACGGCCCAGACUCCUACGGGAGGCAGAGGUGGGGAAUUUUGCACGAUGGGCGGAAGCCUGAUGGAGCAACGCCGCGUGCUGGAUGACGGCCUUCGGGUUGGAAACCGCGUUCGCCUGUGACGAACCGUGAGUGACGGUAAUGGGUAAGGAAGCACCGGCUAACUACGUG
Molecule: ribosomal RNA, 468 nt
Filed under: uncultured bacterium
Lineage: Bacteria
Description: partial 16S ribosomal RNA
Rfam family: Bacterial small subunit ribosomal RNA
Source: RNAcentral